This 163-nucleotide ribosomal RNA is filed under the name uncultured bacterium. Its description in RNAcentral is "partial 16S ribosomal RNA". It matches the Rfam family "Bacterial small subunit ribosomal RNA", at positions 355 to 509 of the family's 1533-position model. The record is from RNAcentral.
UAGGGAAUCUUCCACAAUGGACGAAAGUCUGAUGGAGCAACGCCGCGUGAGUGAAGAAGGGUUUCGGCUCGUAAAGCUCNGUUGGUAGUGAAGAAAGAUAGAGGUAGUAACUGGUCCUUUAUUUGACGGUAAUUACUUAGAAAGUCACGGCUAACUACGUGCC